GACGAACGCUGGCGGCGUGCUUAACACAUGCAAGUCGAACGGAAAGGCCCUGCUUUUGUGGGGUGCUCGAGUGGCGAACGGGUGAGUAACACGUGAGUAACCUGCCCCUGACUUUGGGAUAACUCCAGGAAACUGGGGCUAAUACCGGAUAGGAGCUCCUGCUGCAUGGGGGGGGUUGGAAAGUGUCGGCCGUUGGGGCUGGACUGGCGGGUUAUCGGCUGGUUGGUGGGGUUGUGGCUGACCAGGGGUUCGACGGGUAGCCGGCCUGGGAGGGUGACCGGCCACAUUGGGACUGCGAUACGGCCCAGACUCCUACGGGAGGCAGAAGUCGGGAAUAUUGCAGAAUGGGCGGAAGCCUGAGGCAGCGACGCCGCGUGCGGGAUGACGGCCUUCGGGUUGUAAACCGCUUUCGCCUGUGACGAAGCGUGAGUGACGGUAAUGGGUAAAGAAGCACCGGCUAACUACGUG
RNAcentral lists this ribosomal RNA (468 nucleotides) under uncultured bacterium. Its description in RNAcentral is "partial 16S ribosomal RNA". It matches the Rfam family "Bacterial small subunit ribosomal RNA", at positions 28 to 507 of the family's 1533-position model. The record is from RNAcentral.